RNAcentral lists this ribosomal RNA (253 nucleotides) under uncultured bacterium. RNAcentral's name for it is "partial 16S ribosomal RNA". It matches the Rfam family "Bacterial small subunit ribosomal RNA", at positions 524 to 776 of the family's 1533-position model. The record is from RNAcentral.
UACGUAGGUGACAAGCGUUGUUCGGAAUUACUGGGCGUAAAGGGCUCGUAGGCGGCCAACUAAGUCCGACGUGAAAUCCCAAAGCUUAACUUUGGAACUGCGUCGGAUACUGGAUGGCUUGAAUUCGGGAGAGGGAUGCAGAAUUCCAGGUGUAGCGGUGAAAUGCGUAGAUAUCUGGAGGAAUACCGGUGGCGAAGGCGGCAUCCUGGACCGACAUUGACGCUGAGGAGCGAAAGCGUGGGGAGCGAACAGG